CCUACGGGAGGCAGCAGUGGGGAAUAUUGGGCAAUGGAGGCAACUCUGACCCAGCAACGCCGCGUGAAUGAUGAAGGUCUUCGGAUUGUAAAGUUCUGUGAUGGGGGAUGAACACAAUGACGGUACCCCAAUAGCAAGCCACGGCUAACUACGUGCCAGCAGCCGCGGUAAUACGUAGGUGGCAAGCGUUAUCCGGAAUGACUGGGCGUAAAGGGUGCGUAGGUGGUUUAGUAAGUUGGCGGUGUAAUUCCGGGGCUCAACCUCGGCGCUACCGCCAAAACUAUUAGACUAGAGUGCAGGAGGGGUAAGUGGAAUUCCUAGUGUAGCGGUGGAAUGCGUAGAUAUUAGGAGGAACAUCAGGGGCGAAGGCAGCUUACCAAGCUACUUCUGACGUUGAGGCACGAAAGCGUGGGGAGCAAACAGGAUUAGAUACCCGUGUAGUC
RNAcentral lists this ribosomal RNA (443 nucleotides) under uncultured bacterium. RNAcentral describes it as "partial 16S ribosomal RNA". It matches the Rfam family "Bacterial small subunit ribosomal RNA", at positions 338 to 795 of the family's 1533-position model. The record is from RNAcentral.